CCAAUAGCGUAUAUUAAAGUUGUUGCAGUUAAAAAGCUCGUAGUUGAAUUUCGGGGUUAGUAGGUUGGUCAUGCCUCUGGUAUGUACUGGUCUCACUGAUUCCUCCUUCCUGAUGAACCUUAAUGCCAUUAAUUUGGUGUUUUGGGGAAUUUGGACUGUUACUUUGAAAAAAUUAGAGUGUUUAAAGCAAGCUAACGCUUGAAUACAUUAGCAUGGAAUAAUGAAAUAGGACGUUCGAUCCUAUUUUGUUGGUUUCUAGGAUUGACGUAAUGAUUAAUAGGGAUAGUUGGGAGCAUUAGAAUUCAAUUGUCAGAGGUGAAAUUCUUGGAUUUAUUGAAGACUAACUACUGCGAAAGCAUUUGCCAAGGAUGUUUUCAUUAAUCAAGAACGAAAGUUAGGGGAUCGAAGACGAUCAGAUACCGUCGUAGUCUUAAACAUAAACUAUGCCGACUAGGGAUCGGAUGAUGUUAAUUUUUUAAUGACUCAUUCGGCGCCUUACG
Molecule: ribosomal RNA, 500 nt
Filed under: uncultured Glomeromycotina
Lineage: Eukaryota; Fungi; Glomeromycota
Description: partial small subunit ribosomal RNA
Rfam family: Eukaryotic small subunit ribosomal RNA
Source: RNAcentral